UGCUGGCUGGCCGGCCGGAUGCCCUGAGCACCCAGUGCCCUCCAGGGCAGCAGUGCCUGGAGAAGGCCCCGGGCCAGUGCUUGCGGCCACCCUGCGCGGCUUGGGGGGCAUGUAGUGCGGAGGAGCCUGUGCUACCCAGCACCCCAUGCCAGCCGCGCUCCGGCCACCUGGACAACAACUGUGCCCGCCUCACCCUGCGCUUCAACCGCGAUCAGGUGCCCCAGGUGAGCCGCCCGCCCCCUGGACACCACUGGCGAGCAAAGCCCUGACUGCUGGCCUCCUUCCUGUGGCCGCUCAGACGGCUCGAGACCCCUGCUGGCUGCCCAGCCCCAUGCCUGCGUGUGGUUGGAUGAGAUGGAGCGUUGGGCUUGGGGGCAGCCGGGAGGGGCCGGCCCAGGCUGAGAUGCCCAGUUGUUCCUGGGGCCUGGCUGCAGGUGGCCUUCCCAGGAGGCUGGGGCCAGCCCGCAUCUCCACGGGCAUUCUCACCCCACCCUCGUCUCUGCCCGUAAGGCCCUCUGCUCUCAGUACUGGCCCUGGGCACGGAGGCUCGUCUGGGCUCUGGGUGGGGCUGAGGGCCGCCGUGGGCAGCUGGGACCCUUGCUCCCCCAGACAGGCUGUCAGGGCGUCCCGCUGCACGCUGCAGGGUGGACCCCCUUGGGGCCACGGUCGCUGCCCAAUGUUCACGUGCCACCUGCCCGGCAGGGUACCACCGUGGGCGCUGUCUGCUCUGGCAUCCGUGCUCUGCCGGCCACGAGGGCCGCAGCCCGGGACCGCCUGCUCGUCCUGCUCUGCGACCGGCCACCCUCGGAGGCCAGCGCGGUGGAGGUGGCCUUGUCCUUCAGCCCAGCCCGAGACGUGCCGGACAGCAGCCUGAUCCAGAGCGCGGCGCACGCCAUCGUGACCGCUAUCACGCAGCGGGGGAACAGCUCGCUGCUGCUGGCCGUCACCGAGGUCAAGGUGGAGACGGUCGUUGUGGGCAGGUCCUCCACAGGUGAGCGGGAGGGGAGCGCCGCUUGGGCCCAGGGAGAGUGGGUGGGUUCCUUUGGGCUCGGAGGGCAGGGCUGUGGCCUCUGCCUGCCCAGGGGACGCGGCAGCUCCUCUGUACCCGCCAGCAAAGGUUUCCCAGCCGACCCCACCUCCCAGCCCCGAUCCUGGGGCCCUGCCCAUCCCCACGAGCCGAAGGACCGGGCGUCUGGCCCUCUGACGUCUGGGUGCCUCCGCCCCAGGGCUGCUGGUGACAGUGCUGUGCGGCGUGUUCAGCGUGCUGUGUCUGGCGUGCGUGGUC
Molecule: long non-coding RNA, 1285 nt
Filed under: Ovis aries (sheep)
Lineage: Eukaryota; Metazoa; Chordata; Mammalia; Artiodactyla; Bovidae
Description: lncRNA (ENSOARG00000026484.1)
Source: RNAcentral